UGAGGAACAGAAGCCUGAGGAGCAGGAGGAAGAAGUUCAGCAACCAUUCUCAACCGUAUAUUGAAAUGUGUUUGUGUUUUUGUGUCAGAGUGGGUGUCUUUGUCUGGUGAGGAUCUUUGUUUCCCAUCUAGGUGCUCUAUCUCUCUGAUUGGCUGGAGGUGUGGGUUGGGUCUCGGGUGUGCCGGCUGCUGAUUGGUCCAAACAUCAUCUCUGCAGUUUAAAAUGCUCAGGUGAACUGCCCUCUUCACCCUACUGGACCCAGAACAAGGCCUACUGGUGGAAGACUCUGGCAUCAGGACAUCACAUCAGACUGAACUCUUUGACCCCGCUCACCUCUGAAAGGGACUAUGAAGUCAUUUCAGUGUUCAACACCAAGAAGCCCCGUCGUCUCCUGCUGAAAUCAUUACCAAAAAAGAAAUGAAGCUAAAAACGAGGUCAACAAAUCUGAACAAGAGUGAAGAGAGAAGAUAAAUAUACACGUCAGAUCCACAGGGAGCCACUGGAGAGGAGCUGAAGAGACGCAGGUUGCAGACCUCUGGUAUAGAUACUAGCGCCAACCAAGAUGUGCUGCUUCAACACAGUAAACUGACGCUUUACCUCGCCAUCAGACAGCCCUUUCCGACGCUCUCUUGAAAGCCAUGAGAGUGUGCAACCUCUGCUGUUUUCUUACAGUCGUUGAGCUUUACCUGAGCAAUAAAGUCUCAUUUAACUUUUUUU
Molecule: long non-coding RNA, 717 nt
Organism: Sebastes umbrosus (honeycomb rockfish)
Lineage: Eukaryota; Metazoa; Chordata; Actinopteri; Perciformes; Sebastidae
Exons: 5
Source: RefSeq, a predicted model, not a curated record